Xyrichtys novacula (pearly razorfish) is the source of this 445-nucleotide non-coding RNA. The record is from the annotation of a GenBank genome assembly. NCBI's taxonomy places the organism in Eukaryota, Metazoa, Chordata, Actinopteri, Labriformes, Labridae.
UCUCACACACACUUACAGAUGUGGGUUGCAGAUGUGGAGGGCGUCCUCAGGUCCAUGGCGAGACAGCUGGUGAGUUUGAGUUUGAGUGUGUGUGGUUUAUAAAAAUGACCGGGUGAUAAAAAUGAUAAUAAUGUUUCCUGGUUUUGAAUCCUUUGUUGUUAGGAGCUUAAUGUAACCAGUGAAGUGUCAAACUAACUUAUCCUCCCUUUUCCCAGAAUGCCUCUCUGGAGAAAUAUCCUAAUUAUGAAAGAAGAAACAGCCCAGAGUGCUGUCCUCCGUCAUCCUCCAACCACUGCAGGUCUCUCUCCAGCCAGCCUGCCGCUCCAGAGGGACAGGGUUAGAUGUUGACUGUUUGAAGUCAGAUUUCGAGAAAAAUCCCACAUAAAAAAACAACAUGUCUGAACCCAGUUUUUCCUUCUUUAAUCCCUCAUGCAAUGAUCAUGUC